UUAGGAGGGAACCACGCAAGCUUUCUCAUCCACAGCUGUUUUCUGCAGAGGCCUAACACCCACCACAAGGAGCGGCCCCUUUCCUUGAGGGGCGCACAGGGGCAGGUGCAUUUCUCAGCUGGUCACGCCACCCCCUGCAGCUGUGGGGGUGGGACCAAGCCUCCUGCACACUCAGACGCCUGCUCUUCUGGCCUUCUGAGUCCCUCUCCUGCCUGCCGAUCCCUUGUAUUGGCCCAAUAUGAUACAUCAAAUACACCAGGAAGCUCAAAGUCUGAGAGGGUCUGCCGCAGCUGGAAACCCGACACUGGAUCUUGUAUAAAGAAAAGAGGCUUAUGCAGCUCACAGUUCUGGAAGCCCAGGAGCACGGCUCUGGCCUUGGCUUCUGGUGAGGCCUCGUGGAGCAAAGUGGAAGACAGCAGGUGCAUGGGAAGGGA
Oryctolagus cuniculus (rabbit) is the source of this 434-nucleotide non-coding RNA. NCBI's taxonomy places the organism in Eukaryota, Metazoa, Chordata, Mammalia, Lagomorpha, Leporidae. The record is from RefSeq and is a predicted model, not a curated record.